RNAcentral lists this unclassified non-coding RNA (400 nucleotides) under uncultured bacterium. RNAcentral describes it as "contains 16S-23S intergenic spacer region". The record is from RNAcentral.
UCCCAGCCUUCUGCUCGCGAACGAACACGGAAAAAUUUCCGUGCCGCUCCCGAUCAAAGGGCUGGGCAGUUUCACGCGACACUUGUAACGCGUAAUAGGGGUUGCGCUCGUUACCCCACUUAAGGGAACAUUUCAAAACACGAGCUGACGACAACCAUGCAGCACCUGUGUGUGCUGUCCUUGUGAGAAGGGCAAUGUUUCCAUCACCCGUCAACACACAUUUCAAGCCCUGGUAAGGUUCCUCGCUUACUGUCGAAUUAAACCUCAUGUUCCACCGCUUGUGCGAGUCCCCGUCUAUUCCUUUGAGUUUUAGCCUUGCGGCCGUACUUCCCAGGCGGCCUGUUUAACGCGUUAGCUACGCCACUCCGAGGGUCGAUACUCGAAACAGCAAACAGGCAUC